CGCGGCCUAUCAGCUUGUUGGUGGGGUAAUGGCCUACCAAGGCGACGACGGGUAGCCGGCCUGAGAGGGCGACCGGCCACACUGGGACUGAGACACGGCCCAGACUCCUACGGGAGGCAGCAGUGGGGAAUAUUGCACAAUGGGCGAAAGCCCGAUGCAGCGACGCCGCGUGAGGGAUGACGGCCUUCGGGUUGUAAACCUCUUUCAGCAGGGACGAAGCGUAAGUGACGGUACCUGCAGAAGAAGCGCCGGCCGACUACGUGCCAGCAGCCGCGGUAAGACGUAGGGCGCGAGCGUUGUCCGGAUUUAUUGGGCGUAAAGAGCUCGUAGGCGGCUUGUCGCGUCGACUGUGAAAACCCGCAGCUCAACUGCGGGCCUGCAGUCGAUACGGGCAGGCUAGAGUUCGGUAGGGGAGACUGGAAUUCCUGGUGUAGCGGUGGAAUGCGCAGAUAUCAGGAGGAACACCGGUGGCGAAGGCGGGUCUCUGGGCCGAUACUGACGCUGAGGAGCGAAAGCGUGGGGAGCGAACAGGAUUAGAUACCCUGGUAGUCCACGCUGUAAACGUUGGGCGCUAGGUGUGGGGGACCUCUCCGGUUCUCUGUGCCGCAGCUAACGCAUUAAGCGCCCCGCCUGGGGAGUACGG
RNAcentral lists this ribosomal RNA (643 nucleotides) under uncultured bacterium. Its description in RNAcentral is "bacterial SSU rRNA". It matches the Rfam family "Bacterial small subunit ribosomal RNA", at positions 232 to 885 of the family's 1533-position model. The record is from RNAcentral.